ACCUGGCUGGCUUAGUUGGUAGAGCAUGUGAUUCUUGAUCCUGGGGUAGUAGGUUCAAGCCCCAUGUUGGGUG
Molecule: transfer RNA, 73 nt
Filed under: Mustela putorius furo (domestic ferret)
Lineage: Eukaryota; Metazoa; Chordata; Mammalia; Carnivora; Mustelidae
Also listed under: 1 other name
Rfam family: tRNA
About the family: Transfer RNA (tRNA) molecules are approximately 80 nucleotides in length. Their secondary structure includes four short double-helical elements and three loops (D, anti-codon, and T loops).
Source: Rfam by way of RNAcentral